Molecule: long non-coding RNA, 1557 nt
Organism: Cavia porcellus (domestic guinea pig)
Lineage: Eukaryota; Metazoa; Chordata; Mammalia; Rodentia; Caviidae
Exons: 3
Source: RefSeq, a predicted model, not a curated record
AUUUGGCUGGAGGGGGCAUGAGCAGGGUGGUUAAUUGAAUGCUUGGCAAAGGGCAGCAAGAAGUAAACUGUGGAGAAAGCGAGACCCAGGAGAGCUUAGAGAAUGUGGUUGUUUGAGGCCUUUGCCCAAUGCAAGAAGGGCACCACCUCCAUUUCUGAAUAGAAAUAAAACCUAAAAAAAAAAAAAAAAAAGGAAGAAAGGAAAGAAAAAGGGCAUGACACCAUUCUGAAAUUCAGAGGCAACUCCUGCUUUAGGACAGGCCCCCCAGCGCCCCAUUUUCUCCCUCUGGGGUCCAUGGUUACCCAUAGAUGACCAGGGUACCAUUUGGCCCUGUAGGGAAAGGAGAUGCAAGGGCAGGGACACGUCUGUCCCGGACCCACCCACCCUGAGCUAGGCCUUGCAUUUCCCAGCAGGCAUGCUGGCUGGCAGCUGCCGCCUGGUUCCUGCAGACCCAGUGGAAGGGAAAGAGAAGCAGCACCACUUGCAAUCCGGUUUUGCCUGGGUCCAAGGCCAGCCCAGGCCAGACAGGGACUCUGCCUGUCCACCUGCCUGUUUGGCUGUCUGUGCCCCAGACUUUGAGAGCCUGCGAAGCAUGAUGUUCGAGCUUCAGAUCUCAGCUCUUGGAUGACCUCUGGCAGGCUGGCCCUGAGGAUGGAAGCUGCCGUGCUUUCAUGGAUUUGGGUUUGGUGGAAAAAGAAAAGAAAGCGUCAACUUAUGGGCCUUUACUUGGAAGCUGAUGGGUACCUUUGGAAAUGUCUGGAUACCUGGUCACACACAGAUGCGCACACUGGAGGGGGCACGAGAAAGGCUUAGAGUUGCACACGUCCAUGGUCGUAGCACUGCUGCCUUCUCUACCAUGUCCUCCGCCGUGGGCUACAGGAUGAAGGGCUUGGCUUCCAACAGGCUGUGAGGCUGUGAGGACUGGGGCUUGGGGUCAGUGAAGGUGUUGCCUGGUUCGGUUUCCAUAAAUUUACCCAAGACAGAUCUACCCUGGAGAACUACUGUAACCCAUACCCUCUGUUAUUGUAGCUUUCAAAUAGAAGGCUACUGAGGGCAAAUAUUUAAAAGCCCAGAGAGGUCAUCUAUAUGCUUCCUGUAUUUAGGAAGUGUAAGAGUUAUAGAACUGCCUUUCUCCUUGGCUCACUGAAUGGAGUUGACAGUGAUGUUGGUGGGACUGAUGUAUUUGGGUAUUUGGGUCUUUAAAUAUUAUAUUUUAUUAUAAUCUCUGCUAUACACAUAUAUCUGUUUAUAAAAUAUGUAUUUCUCUCUGUGUACCCAGGAAGGAUGAAUACACGGAAAUGUGAGUAAACAGAAAGUUCAAGAGAAAGAGGAACUGUCCCUAAAACAGGAAGGACAGAGCUACUCUGGGAUUACAACAAACAGGCAGGAAAAGAGGACAAUACAUCUGUGUUUUGCAAGCUGGUGAACUCACUUAACGUUCUGAGAGGAGAGCUGACAGGGCGGUCUCUCUCCUCUUUACCCUGACAUUGCAUGUUUGGAGAACACUGCUAACUAUUGCUGAAGAUAUGCGAGAAGUAAUAAAAUGACCAACACUCA